UACGAAGGGUGCAAGCGUUACUCGGAAUUACUGGGCGUAAAGCGUGCGUAGGUGGUGGCUUAAGUCCGAUGUGAAAGCCCUGGGCUCAACCUGGGAAUGGCAUUGGAUACUGGGUCACUGGAGUGCGGUAGAGGGGUGCGGAAUUCCCGGUGUAGCAGUGAAAUGCGUAGAUAUCGGGAGGAACAUCCGUGGCGAAGGCGGCACCCUGGACCAGCACUGACACUGAGGCACGAAAGCGUGGGGAGCAAAC
RNAcentral lists this ribosomal RNA (250 nucleotides) under uncultured bacterium. Its description in RNAcentral is "partial 16S ribosomal RNA". It matches the Rfam family "Bacterial small subunit ribosomal RNA", at positions 524 to 773 of the family's 1533-position model. The record is from RNAcentral.